Molecule: long non-coding RNA, 1079 nt
Filed under: Theobroma cacao (cacao)
Lineage: Eukaryota; Viridiplantae; Streptophyta; Magnoliopsida; Malvales; Malvaceae
Description: long non-coding RNA (TCAC_LNC004027)
Source: RNAcentral
CCGAUGAUCGAUAGUCAGAGUACUCUAAAAAAAUUCGACACCCGAAAUAGUGAGUAACCUUAUCAUCAUCUUGAUUAUCUAAAGUGAAUUUUAAUUCAUUUUUGUGAUUUUAUGGAAAAUGAAUUUAAAUGGUAAAUCUUUAUGUUUUAUAAGCAAAAAUGUGAUUAAAUUAAAUGAUUUUAUAAAAUUAUCUUGAAAUUGAAUGAUGGUUUUGAAAAUUGAGUAAUUAGAGACUAAUUGCUGUGUUAUAAAUCAUGGUUUGAAUUGAAUGGCUUAUGACAAUAUUGGCAUGAAUGGUUGAAUUCGUAAAUGUGCUGAAAAUGUAUGAACUGUUGAUUUGCCUUGAGAGGCUGUAAAAUAAAAUAAUUACCAUGUCAUGCUAUGGCAAAUUUUAUUGUAUGGUGGGUUUAGCUUCUGCAGUGGGCGAGUUUUGUGAACCAACCUAUUAGAGGGACACGGAAUCCUGUUAUAUACGUACCUCGGUCAGAGAGGCGCAUAGGGUAACUCCCGAGGUAAAACUUUAGAGUUCACUUCACGCCAAACCACCACAUGAGGGUGAACUCAGCCAACGCCAAGGAAUGGUUAUGUUUUCAAAAUAAAAACAUGAUUUAUGCGUACAUUACUUUUUAACAGCCUUGGCGGACUCGGUUGGGAUAGCCCCCGGUCAAGGUAUCCCUAACAACUGAGUAUGAGAAUGAUUUUGGCACGAGCCAAACUUUUCAGGAAAUCAUAAGCCUUGUUGUUUAUUUGGGUGAAAUGAAUCUAUUUUAUCUUAUUAAAACGAGUUCGAAAUGCUGUGAAUCAUUUUUAUGCUAAUCUAUUUUAUCUAUCUCCAUUUACUCGGCUUUAGAUAUUUUAGAUGAUAUUUGUUUACUCACUGGGAUUAUAUAAUCUCACCACCCUCCUUUCCACCUAUUUCAGGCUCAAGAUAGUCGGUAGAUAGCUCAUUUCGUUAAGGGCUAUAAUUGGCUUUACUUCCUCAAAAAUCGUAGGUUCACAGCCUUCGUUCACCUUUGUCAUUUGGGGGCCCACGUGUCAUUGUAAAUUAAAUUACAUACCUUGACUAUCUAUAUUACAGU